UUUGUUGUUGCUAUUCAAAAUAAAUUUCAAUUCUUCCAGAAGCAGCAACAAAGGUAAGUGAAACAAUUUCCUUACAAGAGCAAACUCUCCUUUGACUAUUUUUAUAAUUCUUCAGGAGAAGGUGUCUACGUGCAUUUUCUCUCUGGAUAUUAAAUGACAACAAAUGCUAUAAUAUAUUAACACUUCUUAUUAUGGUUUUGUAUGCAGAUAAACCAAAGAGGAGCAGGAAGCAAAGAUCAUUUGCUGCUGCCUGCUUUUGAGCUCAUGAAUUUUAUUAUAAAGAACGUGAUCAUGGGACCACGGAUGCAGUUCACUGACAGAGUUCAUAAGCCUGAGGUCUCGGGUUCAAGCUCCAGUCACAGCACACCAUCAACACUGUCACUGAAAAUGUAGCCCUGGUAGAGAAAUAAAAAUAUAGAGAUGACUGCGACAUGGAAGAAGGUAUCUGAAGAAGGAACACUCUUCCUCAACCUAGGCUGUGGCAGGAUAACAGACACAUGAGAUAUACGAUACAUCGAUCUGAGAGCUACCGGAAGUCACAGCGGGGGAGGAUCAUCUUCCUGCUGGAUGGAGAUGUGUUGUAAAAAUUUUACAUUUUACAAUUAUUUAUUACAAUUGUUCAUUUGAACUGGGGGGUAUGCAAGGCACGGCAUGUUCAUGGAAGGUAGAGGACAUCACGAGAAAGGUCACUAUCUCCUUAUUCCAUAGACGUCCGGAGGAUCGAACGCAGGUCGUCUGGCUUGACAGCAGUCACCUCUUACCCACUGAACCAUCUCCACAGCACCUUUGUGUGGAAUAUCUAUACCUUCAUAUAUAAUAAUCCAUUACAGUUAGAAGAGAUAUAGAAUAAGAAAAACAAUUUUUCUAGGGUUCUGGACAGAUGGCUCAGUGGUCAAGAGCUUUUGCUGCUUUUCCAGAGAACGUGGGUUGAGUUCUAAGCACACAAUUAUUUGUAACUCUAGUUCUAAGAGAUCUGAUGCCUGCUUCUGGCCUCUGCUGGUACCAGGCAUACACAUGUGUGCAUAUAUAUAUAUGUAUAUAUAUAUAUAUGUAUAUAUAUGCAUAUAUGCAUAUAUAUACAGGUAAAACACUCAUAUUCAUAAAAUAAAUAUAAGAAAAACACUUAAAAAUAAAAAUAAUUCUAGUUGAAGAAAACUGGAUGGCUAAUAGUGGAAAUAUGAGGAAGCUUGCGUCAGAAAGUUUGAAGAACAUCAAAUGAAAUAAAUGGAAAAAUGCCAAGA
This is a non-coding RNA of Rattus norvegicus (Norway rat), 1241 nucleotides long. The record is from RefSeq and is a predicted model, not a curated record. Lineage: Eukaryota; Metazoa; Chordata; Mammalia; Rodentia; Muridae.